UCUCCGGAGGCCUUGCUCAGAACGAUG
Molecule: non-coding RNA, 27 nt
Filed under: Rattus norvegicus (Norway rat)
Lineage: Eukaryota; Metazoa; Chordata; Mammalia; Rodentia; Muridae
Source: RNAcentral